UACGUAGGGGGCAAGCGUUGUCCGGAUUUACUGGGUGUAAAAGGAGCGUAGACGGCGAUGCAAGUCUGAAGUGAAAGCCCGGGGCUCAACCCCGGGACUGCUUUGGAAACUGUAUGGCUGGAGUGCUGGAGAGGCAAGCGGAAUUCCUAGUGUAGCGGUGAAAUGCGUAGAUAUUAGGAAGAACACCAGUGGCGAAGGCGGCUUGCUGGACAGUAACUGACGUUGAGGCUCGAAAGCGUGGGGAGCAAACAGG
This 253-nucleotide ribosomal RNA is filed under the name uncultured bacterium. Its description in RNAcentral is "partial 16S ribosomal RNA". It matches the Rfam family "Bacterial small subunit ribosomal RNA", at positions 524 to 776 of the family's 1533-position model. The record is from RNAcentral.